UAGAGUUUGAUCCUGGCUCAGAACGAACGCUGGCGGCGUGGAUAAGACAUGCAAGUCGAACGAGAGAAUUGCUAGCUUGCUAAUAAUUCUCUAGUGGCGCACGGGUGAGUAACACGUGAGUAACCUGCCCCCGAGAGCGGGAUAGCCCUGGGAAACUGGGAUUAAUACCGCAUAGUAUCGAAAGAUUAAAGCAGCAAUGCGCUUGGGGAUGGGCUCGCGGCCUAUUAGUUAGUUGGUGAGGUAACGGCUCACCAAGGCGAUGACGGGUAGCCGGUCUGAGAGGAUGUCCGGCCACACUGGAACUGAGACACGGUCCAGACACCUACGGGUGGCAGCAGUCGAGAAUCAUUCACAAUGGGGGAAACCCUGAUGGUGCGACGCCGCGUGGGGGAAUGAAGGUCUUCGGAUUGUAAACCCCUGUCAUGUGGGAGCAAAUUAAAAAGAUAGUACCACAAGAGGAAGAGACGGCUAACUCUGUGCCAGCAGCCGCGGUAAUACAGAGGUCUCAAGCGUUGUUCGGAAUCACUGGGCGUAAAGCGUGCGUAGGCUGUUUCGUAAGUCGUGUGUGAAAGGCGCGGGCUCAACCCGCGGACGGCACAUGAUACUGCGAGACUAGAGUAAUGGAGGGGGGACCGGAAUUCUCGGUGUAGCAGUGAAAUGCGUAGAUAUCGAGAGGAACACUCGUGGCGAAGGCGGGUUCCUGGACAUUAACUGACGCUGAGGCACGAAGGCCAGGGGAGCGAAAGGGAUUAGAUACCCCUGUAGUCCUGGCAGUAAACGGUGCAUGCUUGGUGUGCGGGGAAUCGACCCCCUGCGUGCCGGAGCUAACGCGUUAAGCGUGCCGCCUGGGGAGUACGGUCGCAAGAUUAAAACUCAAAGAAAUUGACGGGGACCCGCACAAGCGGUGGAGUAUGUGGCUUAAUUCGAUGCAACGCGAAGAACCUUACCUGGGCUUGACAUGUAAUGAACAACAUGUGAAAGCAUGCGACUCUUCGGAGGCGUUACACAGGUGCUGCAUGGCCGUCGUCAGCUCGUGUCGUGAGAUGUUUGGUUAAGUCCAGCAACGAGCGCAACCCCUGUUGCCAGUUACCAGCACGUGAAGGUGGGGACUCUGGCGAGACUGCCCAGAUCAACUGGGAGGAAGGUGGGGACGACGUCAGGUCAGUAUGGCCCUUAUGCCCAGGGCUGCACACGUACUACAAUGCCCAGUACAGAGGGGGCCGAAGCCGCGAGGCGGAGGAAAUCCUAAAAACUGGGCCCAGUUCGGACUGUAGGCUGCAACCCGCCUACACGAAGCCGGAAUCGCUAGUAAUGGCGCAUCAGCUACGGCGCCGUGAAUACGUUCCCGGGUCUUGCACACACCGCCCGUCA
RNAcentral lists this ribosomal RNA (1371 nucleotides) under uncultured bacterium. RNAcentral describes it as "bacterial SSU rRNA". It matches the Rfam family "Bacterial small subunit ribosomal RNA". The record is from RNAcentral.